GACGGAGGAUGCAAGCGUUAUCCGGAAUGAUUGGGCGUAAAGCGUGCGCAGGCGGUUUUGUAAGUCAGGUGUGAAAGCCCUGGGCUCAACCCAGGAAGUGCACUCGAAACUGCGAGGCUAGAGUACUGGAGAGGUUGGUGGAAUUCUCGGUGUAGAGGUGAAAUUCGUAGAUAUCGAGAGGAACACCGGUGGCGAAGGCGGCCAACUGGACAGAUACUGACGCUGAGACUCGAAAGCGUGGGGAGCAAACAGG
This 253-nucleotide ribosomal RNA is filed under the name uncultured bacterium. RNAcentral describes it as "partial 16S ribosomal RNA". It matches the Rfam family "Bacterial small subunit ribosomal RNA", at positions 524 to 776 of the family's 1533-position model. The record is from RNAcentral.